This 482-nucleotide ribosomal RNA is filed under the name uncultured bacterium. RNAcentral's name for it is "partial 16S ribosomal RNA". It matches the Rfam family "Bacterial small subunit ribosomal RNA", at positions 30 to 507 of the family's 1533-position model. The record is from RNAcentral.
AUUGAACGCUGGCGGCAUGCUUUACACAUGCAAGUCGAACGGUAACAGGCCGCAAGGUGCUGACGAGUGGCGAACGGGUGAGUAAUGCAUCGGAACGUGCCCAGUCGUGGGGAAUAACUACUCGAAAGAGUAGCUAAUACCGCAUACGAUCUAUGGAUGAAAGCGGGGGACCGUAAGGCCUCGCGCGAUUGGAGCGGCCGAUGUCAGAUUAGGUAGUUGGUGGGGUAAAGGCUCACCAAGCCAACGAUCUGUAGCUGGUCUGAGAGGACAACCAGCCACACUGGGACUGAGACACGGCCCAGACUCCUACGGGAGGCAGCAGUGGGGAAUUUUGGACAAUGGGCGCAAGCCUGAUCCAGCAAUGCCGCGUGCAGGAAGAAGGCCUUCGGGUUGUAAACUGCUUUUGUACGGAACGAAACGGCUCUGGUUAAUACCCGGGGCUAAUGACGGUACCGUAAGAAUAAGCACCGGCUAACUACGUG